AUCACUUGGAAAUAGCGGGACCCGGAGAUUGGUAGAUCCGGGCGUAAGGGACCGAAUACGAGUAGGGAAGUCCGCGAUGUUCCGAGGCGAGAAAAGGCGAAGGUAGGGUGCCCGUACCGCAAACCGACACAGGUAGAUGAGGAGAGAAUCCUAAGGCCAACGGGAGAAGGGUUGUUAAGGAACUCGGCAAAAUGACCCCGUAACUUCGGGAUAAGGGGAGCCUGUCUAUGGCAGGCCGCAGAGAAUAGGCCCAAGCGACUGUUUACCAAAAACACAGGUCUAUGCUAAAUCGAAAGAUGACGUAUAUGGGCUGACGCCUGCCCGGUGCUGGAAGGUUAAGAGGAGAUGUCAGGCAACGAAGCAUUGAAUCGAAGCCCCAGUAAACGGCGGCCGUAACAAUAACGGUCCUAAGGUAGCGAAAUUCCUUGUCAGGUAAGUUCUGACCCGCACGAAUGGCGUAACGAUUUGGGCGCUGUCUCAACAGCCCACCCGGCGAAAUUGUUGUACUGGUGAAGAAGCCAGUUACCCGCAACUAGACGGAAAGACCCCAUGGAGCUUUACUGCAGCUUAAUACUGGAAUUCGGUAAUUCAUGUACAGGAUAGGUGGGAGACUGAGAACUAACGUCGUCAGGCGCUAGGGAGUCGCCCUUGGGAUACCACUCUUGAAUUGCUGGGUUUCUAACCUGCGGCCGUGAAUCCGGUCGGGGGACACUGUUAGGCAGACAGUUUGACUGGGGCGGUCGCCUCCUAAAAGGUAACGGAGGCGCUCAAAGGUUGGCUCAGCACGGACGGAAAUCGUGCAAUGAGUGUAAACGUAUAAGCCAGCCUAACUGCGAGAGUGACGGCUCGAGCAGUAACGAAAGUUGGAGUUAGUGAUCCGGUGGUAUGUGAGUGGAAAUGCCAUCGCUCAACGGAUAAAAGCUACCCUGGGGAUAACAGGCUGAUCUCCCCCAAGCGUCCACAGCGACGGGGAGGUUUGGCACCUCGAUGUCGGCUCGUCACAUCCUGGGGCUGUACUCGGUCCCAAGGGUUCGGCUGUUCGCCGAUUAAAGUGGCACGCGAGCUGGGUUCAGAACGUCGUGAGACAGUUCGGUCCCUAUCUGUUGCGGGCGUAAGAGAUUUGAAGGGGGCUGUCCUUAGUACGAGAGGACCGGGAUGGACGCACCUCUGGUGCACCUGUUGUCGUGCCAACGGCAUAGCAGGGUAGCUACGUGCGGACGAGAUAAACGCUGAAAGCAUCUAAGCGUGAAACUUUCCCUAAGAUAAGAUCUCUCAUCCUUCAUGGAGUAAGGCACGAUGUAGACUAUAUCGUAGAUAGGCCGGAGGUGGAAGUGCAGUAAUGUAUGGAGCUGACCGGUACUAAUAAGCCGAGGGCUUGACCU
RNAcentral lists this ribosomal RNA (1382 nucleotides) under metagenome. Its description in RNAcentral is "bacterial LSU rRNA". It matches the Rfam family "Bacterial large subunit ribosomal RNA", at positions 1471 to 2925 of the family's 2925-position model. The record is from RNAcentral.